NNNCUUCAGCAANGGAUCUCUUGGCUCUCGCAUCGAUGAAGAACGCAGCGAAUCGCGAUAAGUAAUGUGAAUUGCAGAUUUUCCGUGAAUCAUCGAAUCUUUGAACGCACCUUGCGCUCCUUGGUAUUCCGAGGAGCAUGCCUGUUUGA
RNAcentral lists this ribosomal RNA (149 nucleotides) under Astraeus odoratus. RNAcentral describes it as "5.8S ribosomal RNA". It matches the Rfam family "5.8S ribosomal RNA". From Rfam's summary of the family: 5.8S ribosomal RNA (5.8S rRNA) is a component of the large subunit of the eukaryotic ribosome. It is transcribed by RNA polymerase I as part of the 45S precursor that also contains 18S and 28S rRNA. The record is from RNAcentral. Lineage: Eukaryota; Fungi; Basidiomycota; Agaricomycetes; Boletales; Astraeaceae.